Molecule: unclassified non-coding RNA, 240 nt
Filed under: soil metagenome
Description: partial contains 5.8S ribosomal RNA, internal transcribed spacer 2, and large subunit ribosomal RNA
Source: RNAcentral
AACUGAUACUACCUGCGGGAACCUGCGGAAGGAUCAUUACUGAAGUGAUUUGGGGAUGUUGCUGGCCCUCUCUCAAGGGGGGGCACUGUGCACUCCUCGAAACAAUUCACAAUUCCCAUCACACCCCUUGUGCACACCUUGUAGGCACCCAAACCCACCUCCGGGUGGUGGGGUCCUAUGUAUUCCUUCAUCUCACACUCUGUUGAAUGGUGCCAUGGGACGCAUCUAAAGGAUUAUUUG